CACGGGUGCGUAACGCGUAUGCAAUUCUACCUUUUGCAGAGGGAUAGCCCAGAGAAAAUUUGGAUUAAUACCUCAUAGUAUGUGAGAAUGGCAUCAUUUUCACAUUAAAGUCACAACGGCAAAAGAUGAGCAUGCGUCCCAUUAGCUAGUUGGUAAGGUAACGGCUUACCAAGGCAACGAUGGGUAGGGGUCCUGAGAGGGAGAUUCCCCCACACUGGUACUGAGACACGGACCAGACGUCCUACGGGAGGCAGCAGUGAGGAAUAUUGGACAAUGGGCGCAAGCCUGAUCCAGCCAUGCCGCGUUGCAGGAUGACGGUCCUAUGGAUUGUAAACUGCUUUUGUACACGGAAGAAACACUGGUUCGUGAACCAGCUUGACGGUACUGUAAGAAUAAGGAUCGGCUAACUCCGUG
This 414-nucleotide ribosomal RNA is filed under the name uncultured bacterium. RNAcentral describes it as "bacterial SSU rRNA". It matches the Rfam family "Bacterial small subunit ribosomal RNA", at positions 100 to 507 of the family's 1533-position model. The record is from RNAcentral.